This 851-nucleotide ribosomal RNA is filed under the name uncultured bacterium. RNAcentral describes it as "bacterial SSU rRNA". It matches the Rfam family "Bacterial small subunit ribosomal RNA", at positions 58 to 916 of the family's 1533-position model. The record is from RNAcentral.
CAAGUCGAACGGAGUUUAGUCGGUGGCAACACCGACGAAGACUUAGUGGCGAACGGGUGAGUAACACGUGAGAAACCUGUCCCGGUCUCUAGGAUAACAGUUGGAAACAGCUGCUAAUACUGGAUGACGUCGGAGCGUCGCAUGGCGCACUGACGAAAGGGUUACUGGAUCGGGAGGGUCUCGCGGCCUAUCAGCUUGUUGGUGGGGUAACGGCCUACCAAGGCAUCGACGGGUAGCUGGUCUGAGAGGAUGAUCAGCCACACUGGGACUGAGACACGGCCCAGACUCCUACGGGAGGCAGCAGUGGGGAAUCUUGCGCAAUGGGCGAAAGCCUGACGCAGCAACGCCGCGUGCGGGAAGAAGGCCUUCGGGUUGUAAACCGCUUUCAGAAGGAACGAAAAUGACGGUACUUUCAGAAGAAGGUGCGGCCAACUACGUGCCAGCAGCCGCGGUGACACGUAGGCACCAAGCGUUGUCCGGAUUUAUUGGGCGUAAAGAGCUCGUAGGCGGUUCGGUAAGUCGGGUGUGAAAUCUUUGGGCUUAACCCAAAGCGUGCAUUCGAUACUGCCAUGACUAGAGUUCGGUAGGGGAGCGGGGAAUUCCUAGUGUAGCGGUGAAAUGCGCAGAUAUUAGGAGGAACACCGGUGGCGAAGGCGCCGCUCUGGGCCGAAACUGACGCUGAGGAGCGAAAGCGUGGGUAGCAAACGGGAUUAGAUACCCUGGUAGUCCACGCCGUAAACGUUGGGCACUAGGUGUGGGUUCCAACCAACGGAAUCCGCGCCGUCGCUAACGCAUUAAGUGCCCCGCCUGGGGAGUACGGCCGCAAGGUUAAAACUCAAAGGAAUUGACGG